AUUGAACGCUGGCGGCAGGCCUAACACAUGCAAGUCGAGCGAGCGGCGGACGGGUGAGUAAUAUCUGGGAAACUGCCCGCUGGAGGGGGAUAACUACUGGAAACGGUAGCUAAUACCCCAUACCAUCAGGUGUGCCCAGAUGGGAGUAGCUAGUAGGUGGGGUAACGGGUCACCUAGGCGAGGAUCCCUAGCUGGUCUGAGAGGAUGACCAGCCACAUGGGAACUGAGACACGGUCCAGACUCCUACGGGAGGCAGCAGUGGGGAAUAUUGCACAAUGGGAGCAAGCCUGAUGCAGCCAUGCCGCGUGUGUGAAGAAGGCCUUCGGGUUGUAAAGCACUUUCAGCGUGGAGGCGUUACCCGCAGAAGAAGCACCGGCUAACUCCGUGCCAGCAGCCGCGGUAAUUC
RNAcentral lists this ribosomal RNA (406 nucleotides) under uncultured bacterium. Its description in RNAcentral is "partial 16S ribosomal RNA". It matches the Rfam family "Bacterial small subunit ribosomal RNA", at positions 30 to 526 of the family's 1533-position model. The record is from RNAcentral.